RNAcentral lists this unclassified non-coding RNA (180 nucleotides) under soil metagenome. RNAcentral describes it as "partial internal transcribed spacer 1". The record is from RNAcentral.
CCGAGUUAUACAACUCCCAAACCCAAUGUGAACCAUACCUAAACUGUUGCCUCGGCGGGAUCACGACCGGGCCGUCGCAGCACCGGAACCAGGCCGCCCGCCAGGAGGACCAACCUAACUCUUCUGUAGUCCCUCGCGAAUGUUAUUUCUGUACAGCUAUGAGCAAAAUUCAAAUGAAUC